RNAcentral lists this ribosomal RNA (278 nucleotides) under uncultured bacterium. Its description in RNAcentral is "partial 16S ribosomal RNA". It matches the Rfam family "Bacterial small subunit ribosomal RNA", at positions 506 to 784 of the family's 1533-position model. The record is from RNAcentral.
UGCCAGCAGCCGCGUAAUACGGAGGGGGUUAGCGUUGUUCGGAAUUACUGGGCGUAAAGCGCACGUAGGCGGAUUAGUAAGUUAGAGGUGAAAUCCCAGGGCUCAACCCUGGAACUGCCUUUAAUACUGCUAGUCUUGAGUUCGAGAGAGGUAAGUGGAAUUCCAAGUGUAGAGGUGAAAUUCGUAGAUAUUCGGAGGAACACCAGUGGCGAAGGCGGCUUACUGGGCCAAUACUGACGCUGAGGUUCGAAAGCGUGGGUAGCGAACAGGAUUAGAUA